Long non-coding RNA from Lagenorhynchus albirostris (white-beaked dolphin), 1317 nucleotides. RefSeq lists it as uncharacterized. The transcript is spliced from 2 exons. NCBI's taxonomy places the organism in Eukaryota, Metazoa, Chordata, Mammalia, Artiodactyla, Delphinidae. The record is from RefSeq and is a predicted model, not a curated record.
ACCUGUCACUGCCCGGCGGCCCGGCCCGGCAGUGGGAGAGCGGGCGCCCCCAGCCCGGGCCGGCGCGGCGCUUCAGGUCUUAUGACGAAAAUGCAGACGGCAUUCGCGGCAGGAUGCUACUUUGCCGGAACUUUUACCAGCCAUUAUCUUUACGUCUAAUGAAACUCUGGAUUGUAUUUGAUGGGCUCCGCGUGGAUCCUGUGUCAGUUCCCAUCAUUGCGCUCCGUGUAAACAGGAGGCGUCCUACGUUGCUCCAAAGUAGGGCUUUGGUGGGUUUUUUUUUUUCAUCCUGCAUUUUAUCGACCCGCACUCUUUUAUUGUCAUCGAAGCAAAGAGAAUAAUUAUUAUUGGACACCGUAACCUUCAGGGAAAAUUUUUUUAAAGCAAGACACUUCAAAAUUUGAGAGCCGGAUGAUUUUUCUACACUGGAAGAAAAUGCUGCUUCAACAUAGCCAUGGGUUGACACUUAUAAUUUGUCCUCUGAAAAACUUUAUACAAUUGAAUUAUAUGAAGACCUAUAAUGCUCCUGUCAAACCAAAAAAAGAAGACUUAAAAAAAGAGGAAAAGAUGUAUUGUUAGAAGAGAUUUAGAUAGAUGUGAUGGCUACCAUGUGGCUUAUAUUACACACGAAAAUGAGUAUCUAGAGAGCUCUUUGCAGCAGAAUAUUUUAAAAAUCCGGAAGACUGUUGCGGUGGUUUUAAUAGGUUUGACAGCAAAUUUUCAAAUACUUGCCAAGAUACAAAAAUGUCCUGUAUCUCCACUUUUCUCCCCGGGGGAUACCUAGUAAAAAUGAUCACUAUUCUUAAUUACUGAAUUGGAUGGGAACUGUUAUUGGCUUAAGGCACAGAAACAAAGUGCUAUCUUUCAGGCUGGCUUCGCUACCACCCUCUGGGGUGGGGAGAAAACGGAUUGCAGGUCGCCAAAAUUAUCCUCAAACUCUAAUACUGACAGCUCACCUCCCAUGCAGCAGAUGGACAUUCAUCUACAUGUCCUAUACUAAGACGAUGCAUUUAUUCAUUCAGUGAACAAACAUUUUUUGAGACUUCACGGCCCUCUAAGUAUGCUGCUAAUUACUCAGCACCCACAGGACUCCCGGAGGAGAUUACAUGGUGGGAGCAGGACCGGCGGAUGGCAACUGCCACACCUGGGAUUGAAGUCAAAGUUACCAGUGGGUGAUGGACAAAGAAACGUUGACAGGGAGGAAGGCAUUCAAGAGAGAGACUGCGUGAACUGCCUUUGCUCCUAUGACCCAAGGAAGGAACUUAUUGCUAUACUCAUCUGAAACGUAAUAUUAGCGAAAUAAAACUUUUACUUUCA